Molecule: non-coding RNA, 84 nt
Organism: Schistocerca piceifrons (Central American locust)
Lineage: Eukaryota; Metazoa; Arthropoda; Insecta; Orthoptera; Acrididae
Source: the annotation of a RefSeq genome assembly
GCCCCAGUGGCGCAAUUGGUUAGCGCACGGUACUUAUAAUGCCGGGGUUGUGAGUUCGAGUGAGUUCGAGCCUCACCUGGGGCA